Molecule: ribosomal RNA, 492 nt
Filed under: uncultured bacterium
Lineage: Bacteria
Description: partial 16S ribosomal RNA
Rfam family: Bacterial small subunit ribosomal RNA
Source: RNAcentral
AGUGAACGCUGGCGGUAGGCCUAACACAUGCAAGUCGAACGGCAGCACAGUAAGAGCUUGCUCUUACGGGUGGCGAGUGGCGGACGGGUGCGGAAUACAUCGGAAUCUACCUUUUCGUGGGGGAUAACGUAGGGAAACUUACGCUAAUACCGCAUACGACCUACGGGUGAAAGCAGGGGAUCUUCGGACCUUGCGCGAUUGAAUGAGCCGAUGUCGGAUUAGCUAGUUGGCGGGGUAAAGGCCCACCAAGGCGACGAUCCGUAGCUGGUCUGAGAGGAUGAUCAGCCACACUGGAACUGAGACACGGUCCAGACUCCUACGGGAGGCAGCAGUGGGGAAUAUUGGACAAUGGGCGCAAGCCUGAUCCAGCCAUACCGCGUGUGUGAAGAAGGCCUUCGGGUUGUAAAGCCCUUUUGUUGGGAAAGAAAAGCAGCAGGUUAAUACCCCGCUGUUCUGACGGUACCCAAAGAAUAAGCACCGGCUAACUUCGUG